This 228-nucleotide ribosomal RNA is filed under the name uncultured bacterium. Its description in RNAcentral is "partial 16S ribosomal RNA". It matches the Rfam family "Bacterial small subunit ribosomal RNA", at positions 524 to 753 of the family's 1533-position model. The record is from RNAcentral.
UACGGAGGGGGCUAGCGUUGUUCGGAAUUACUGGGCGUAAAGCGCACGUAGGCGGAUCAGUCAGUCAGGGGUGAAAUCCCGGGCUCAACCCCGGACUGCCUUUGAUACUGCUGGUCUGGAGGAUGGGAGAGGCGAGUGGAAUUCCGAGUGUAGAGGUGAAAUUCGUAGAUAUUCGGAGGAACACCAGUGGCGAAGGCGGCUCGCUGGCCCAUUUCUGACGCUGAGGUG